RNAcentral lists this ribosomal RNA (231 nucleotides) under Carausius sechellensis. Its description in RNAcentral is "partial 12S ribosomal RNA". The record is from RNAcentral. Lineage: Eukaryota; Metazoa; Arthropoda; Insecta; Phasmatodea; Lonchodidae.
UAAACUAGGAUUAGAUACCCUAUUAUUUUGAGCGUGAAGAACUUAUCCUAGGUAGUAAUAGUUUUCUUUAAACCUAAAGAAUUUGGCGGUGUUUUAUUCUGUUCAGAGGAAUUUGUCCCGUUAUCGAUAGUCCUCGUUUUAUCUUGCUUUAAUUUAUUUAGUAUGUAUACCGCCGUUAUAAGUUUAUUUUUUUAGAAUAUUUACUUUAAAAUGUAUUAAUUUUUAUUUCAG